RNAcentral lists this transfer RNA (65 nucleotides) under Lupocycloporus gracilimanus. Its description in RNAcentral is "tRNA-Thr". It matches the Rfam family "tRNA". Rfam says of the family: Transfer RNA (tRNA) molecules are approximately 80 nucleotides in length. The record is from RNAcentral. Lineage: Eukaryota; Metazoa; Arthropoda; Malacostraca; Decapoda; Portunidae.
GUUUUAAUAGUUUAAUCUAAAACUUUGGUCUUGUAAACCAAAAAUGAAGUUCUCUUCUUAAAACU